CAGAGAGCUGAGCCAUGAAGAAGGAGCACCCCGAGUGACUGAGAGGAAGCACUGCAACUCCUGGACAGAAGGGGGUGUUGGAUUGGGUGGAGCUAUUCCCCAGAGGUAGCCACAAGGAAGUGCCUCAGUGGUACCAUACCCAGUAUGCUGAGCUAGUGCACCUCCUACAACUUUUGAAACACUUCCUUCUUGAAGAUAUCUAGCAUGCCUUCUGUGUGCCUCAUCAUUUUAUACUCAUGCAGAAACAUCUUCACUGGCCACCAAACAGUUGGACCCAGAAUAUAAGAGAGACAAGUUUUGCUGGAAAAGUGGAACUGGAAGACACCAGUGAACAGGCCUGACCCUUUUCUAACCAAUAUACUAAAUAUAAAAUGGAUACUGCAAGAGAUCUCAGAACACUUCAUGUUUGAAAUAACUAGAAAUAAUCUAAGUAUUAUCCUGGCACUGAUUAAUUUCACUGUUUUUUGUUUUUGUUUUUUUUGCUUAGAAAUGCCUGUAAUAACCUUGUAUUGAUUAUAGGACUAGAGA
This is a long non-coding RNA of Mauremys reevesii (Reeves's turtle), 528 nucleotides long. RefSeq lists it as uncharacterized. The transcript has 3 exons. Lineage: Eukaryota; Metazoa; Chordata; Testudines; Geoemydidae. The record is from RefSeq and is a predicted model, not a curated record.